Long non-coding RNA from Aphidius gifuensis, 778 nucleotides. RefSeq lists it as uncharacterized. Lineage: Eukaryota; Metazoa; Arthropoda; Insecta; Hymenoptera; Braconidae. The record is from RefSeq and is a predicted model, not a curated record. The transcript has 4 exons.
GGUUCACUCAGUGUCCGGCCACCAAACUCAAAGGUACUCUCAAAAAAUAGCUAAACUUUUAUUGGUGAUGUGGCAAAGCUUUGCCACAUCACCAGUGAUAAUUUUUUGUCAUUUCACCAUUAUUUAAAAUAGUCAAGACAACAUUAAUUUAUUUAAGUAAUGAAUAAAAAUUGUGUUUCUUAUAAUUAAAAUACAUUUAAACUAAAUAUUAAAUUAUUUGAAUAAGUGUGCUUAUAAAAUCCACACUUUACAUGCGGUUUUCGUAAUUCCUUCAAAAGUAAUUGAUAUGUACUACAAUUGGAAUAUCCAGGAAUAAAAAAUAAAAAAAAUCCAGAAAUGAAUAAAAAGAAUAACUACCAUUAUCAAGUGACGACUAUGAUAUCAACAAUAUUAUUAAUUUAUCCUGAAAAUAAUUAUCAUAAUGGAGUAUUUGUAGACUCAGUCAUUCAGGAUUGUAUGAUGCCCAAUUAUUCACAAAUAAGAAGGAAGUUACAAAUGAUGUUGUAUAUGGUCCAACCUGGCAAUGUUUAUUGCCAAAUUAUGAACGUCGUUUUUCAACAUUAAUUAGUGUUAAAUAUUGUGGUUUUGGUAAUCCUUCUAGAAUUGUGUUAUACUGAGUUUUCCGAUCUAUAUUAAAAUAUGGUGUCCGGCCGAGGGUGAAGACCUCCCAUAACACAACUCCAAACGACAAAAAAUCAGAUUGAGUUGAAAAUAUAAAUGCAUGAAUUGAUUCUGGCGCCAUCCACUUGACUGGUAGACAUCCACCAUUGGUUUUUUG